RNAcentral lists this long non-coding RNA (262 nucleotides) under Citrus maxima (pomelo). RNAcentral's name for it is "long non-coding RNA (CMAX_LNC003521)". The record is from RNAcentral. Lineage: Eukaryota; Viridiplantae; Streptophyta; Magnoliopsida; Sapindales; Rutaceae.
AACAAAAUUUUCAAAAAUUCAAUCUUGGAACCCAGUUUUUUCCCAAAUUGCAUUUCUGACCCUUGUCAAAUCUCCUCCUUUCAAGGUCCUGCCCACGCCCUCGUGAACCGAAAAGGAAACGAUUCUCGUCCUCGCCAUCUGCCUCGCCAAAAACUCGUGCGGCGGUACCCUCACGCCAUCCUCACCUCCACCGUACCCGUCAUCGUCGUCGCUGUCCUCUGCCGCCCUCCUCCGACUGUCCCUAUACUCGUCCUUCAAAAUC